GGAGAGAUGGCCGAGUCGGCUGAAGGCGCUCGCCUGCUAAGCGAGUGUGCGGGUAAUACUGCACCGAGGGUUCGAAUCCCUCUCUCUCCGCCA
This 93-nucleotide transfer RNA is filed under the name Deltaproteobacteria bacterium. RNAcentral's name for it is "tRNA-Ser". It matches the Rfam family "tRNA". Rfam says of the family: Transfer RNA (tRNA) molecules are approximately 80 nucleotides in length. Their secondary structure includes four short double-helical elements and three loops (D, anti-codon, and T loops). Lineage: Bacteria; Pseudomonadati; Myxococcota; Myxococcia. RNAcentral also lists the same sequence under 2 other names. The record is from RNAcentral.